RNAcentral lists this long non-coding RNA (386 nucleotides) under Nicotiana benthamiana. RNAcentral's name for it is "long non-coding RNA (NBEN_LNC022710)". The record is from RNAcentral. Lineage: Eukaryota; Viridiplantae; Streptophyta; Magnoliopsida; Solanales; Solanaceae.
AGAGUUAGAGAUUUAAGCAAUAGCUCCAAAGGCUAGUUGGAGAAAAAUAUUGAUGGCAUUGUUGUUGGAGGGGAGUUAAAUACUAAAUUCUUUUAGGUAGCUGUAGUGAAUAAGAGCAAGAGCUUCAUAGAGUCUAUGGAAGUGAAUCUGGCGGCUCCUUAAGGUCAAGGAGGAGGUAAAAGGAGCAGUUGGUAUUUACUAACAUUUGUUUAGCGAGGAGGUGAGUUGGAGACCUGAGCUGUGAGAGGUAGUGUUCAGUCAAAGAGGAGAAGAAAGGGGGAGUGGUUGAUGCGGGCAUUUAGGGAAGAGGAGGUGUGGGAUGUAUUAGGGAGUUGGACAAAGAGGGAGUGGUUCACGUUCUUCAAUAGCGAGGAGGUGAGUUGGAG